RNAcentral lists this long non-coding RNA (362 nucleotides) under Theobroma cacao (cacao). RNAcentral describes it as "long non-coding RNA (TCAC_LNC005484)". The record is from RNAcentral. Lineage: Eukaryota; Viridiplantae; Streptophyta; Magnoliopsida; Malvales; Malvaceae.
UGUGCUCAACACAUACGAAAUAUAAUCAUAUUACAAUUGUUUACAUCACAUGCCAAUCUCUUGGCUAUUCCUUAGUAUGCCUACCAUUUAUUGAUAUGAAAACACAACCUGAAUUUGAACGGGUGAGUAUAAAGUUCAAAGAGUGAAUAUAGGGAGGGGAGACAAGUUAAAUGCAUGAGUUUUUAUUGUAAAAUCAUUUACAUUCAAAUUACACAAACUCGACUCAUGAUUGUGUCAUUCAAACAUAUGAACAUGUAAGUUCGACAUGUAGAUGUGCCAUUCAAACAAGUCUUAAUGAAAGGAAAACCUCUCUUUAAUUUUUACUUAAUUAAAAUAGUGAAACACUUGUAUGUGAGACAUAG